RNAcentral lists this long non-coding RNA (1242 nucleotides) under Chloebia gouldiae (Gouldian finch). Its description in RNAcentral is "Erythrura gouldiae (Gouldian finch) lncRNA (ENSEGOG00005006794.1)". The record is from RNAcentral. Lineage: Eukaryota; Metazoa; Chordata; Aves; Passeriformes; Passeridae.
GGGAUGAAGACUUCUUUAUACUGCUUCCAAGCUCUGCCCUGAUGCAUUGUGUAACCUUGGGCAAGUCAUUUAACUUGUCUUGCUCAUCCAUCAGAUAGAAAUAUGAUGCUUAUCUGUUGCAUGAAAAUGAGUUAAUUGCUGUUUGCCAACUGCUUUCAUCUCUUUGGAUGAAUCAGAUUGAGGCCACAUAUGUAAGCGUAUAUAAUUUUGCAUGUGUAUUUUUAUUUGGAGCUUGCUUAUGUCUUGCAGCAUUGCAUCUUCAGGUCAACACUGGUUAUCUGCUUGGCAGGGAGCCCCUAUUGUACAUUUCUGAUGUAAUGCAAAUCAUAGCAAUGAGAAACACAUAAGUGAAAGGUAUUACACUUAUCAUCAUCAUUAGCUGUUGUUGUUGUUGUUGCUGCUGGUGUUAUUGUUAUUAUUAUUAUAGUCUCACACUUGGAUGCAGAGAUAGGACCACUUUAAAAAAAUAUGGCCCCAAGAAAGAAGUCUUCUUGAGAAUAAGUCUCCUAAAAUAAAAUGAAUGGGAGAGGCCUGGGCCUGGAGCUGCCUUUACACAAAUGUGUUGCUAUAAAAUUUCCCAGGGGCAUCACCAAAUCUCUAAAUUCAUUUAUUUAUAGGCUUUACUACUCAGGAACUGACCUAUGAAAAUGCUUGGUCAGAGGGUGGUUCUCACCAGAACAACAGAUCUCCUCCCUUGGGGAGGAGUCAUAGCGCUCACAACUUGUUUGAUUUUGGGUAACAGAAGGAAAUUGAUGUGAGAGACUCAGAAGGAAAUAAUAAGGAGAGAUUAUUUAAACCACAGAUACAGCUCAGAAAGAAGUCCAAGGGCUGUAUAACUCUUGGAAGCAAAGUGUGUUCCUCAACCAUCAUUGGAGGCACUAUGGACUGUACCUUGUCAGUGACACAUGGAGCUGACUUUGCUGCUGAAGGAUGUGGAGUUGCCUACAGAGGCCAAAGGAGACACCAUUGCUUUGGGAAGCAGGGCUGGAGCAAGCAGCAGACAACAGCAAUCUGAUAUGCCUGAAAGGUGCAACCUCCCAGCUUACAUCUGAGUUUGAAAGCACUGCAGAGAUGUUCCUCCCAAGGGCGGGCUCCAAAGCUUUGGAACUUCUGCUCUUUAAGUCUCAUGGACUGCAACAACAGAGCAUCCUCCAUAUCGAGCUCUUGGCAUGUUGUGUCUGGACUCAUUCCCAGGCCCCAUGGUGGGAGAAACACACAUUUUCUACCCAGUGGCUCUUCUAG